CUACGAAGGGGGCUAGCGUUGUUCGGAAUUACUGGGCGUAAAGCGCGCGUAGGCGGAUUGGUCAGUUAGGGGUGAAAUCCCAGGGCUUAACCCUGGAACUGCCUCCAAAACUUCCAAUCUAGAGACCGAGAGAGGUGAGUGGAAUUCCGAGUGUAGAGGUGAAAUUCGUAGAUAUUCGGAGGAACACCAGUGGCGAAGGCGGCUCACUGGCUCGGUACUGACGCUGAGGUGCGAAAGCGUGGGUAGCGAACGGGAUUAGAAACCCUAGUAGUCC
This 274-nucleotide ribosomal RNA is filed under the name uncultured bacterium. Its description in RNAcentral is "partial 16S ribosomal RNA". It matches the Rfam family "Bacterial small subunit ribosomal RNA", at positions 523 to 796 of the family's 1533-position model. The record is from RNAcentral.